RNAcentral lists this ribosomal RNA (334 nucleotides) under uncultured Hydropus. Its description in RNAcentral is "eukaryotic LSU rRNA". The stretch from base 1 to 70 matches the Rfam family "5.8S ribosomal RNA", at positions 85 to 154 of the family's 154-position model. The record is from RNAcentral. Lineage: Eukaryota; Fungi; Basidiomycota; Agaricomycetes; Agaricales; Tricholomataceae.
GUGAUCAUCGAAUCUUUGAACGCACCUUGCACUCCUUGGUAUUCCGAGGAGUAUGCCUGUUUGAGUGUCAUUAAAUUCUCAAACUUUUUUUCCUUGUUUAAUCUUGGAGGACAAGUUUGGAUAUGAGAGUUUGCUGGUUUUUCUAAAUCAGCUCUCUUUAAAUUCAUUAGUAGAUUUGGCUUUGUUCCACAUUCUCAAUUGAUGUGAUAGUUAUCUACAUCAUUAGAGAUUGAAUUUAUCUGCUUAUAACUGUCUUUUGGACAUACUUUUUGACAAUUUGACCUCAAAUCAGGUAGGACUACCCGCUGAACUUAAGCAUAUCAAUAAGCGGAGG